AAGACUAUCUUUCAGGAUCAUUUCUAUAGUAUGGACUAGAAAUUGUGGCUGAAAGUGGCACGGAGGUAACCACAGGAGGAGCUGAGGUUCUCUUCUAGCGUGAAGCCGGCUUUGGCUGUUCUGUAGCUGUCACGUGCCAUUGAUGAUCGUUCUUCCCUUCUUUUGGGUUGGGGAGGAAGGGAACGGGUAAGGGU
RNAcentral lists this small nucleolar RNA (194 nucleotides) under Sarcophilus harrisii (Tasmanian devil). Its description in RNAcentral is "Small nucleolar RNA U3 (ENSSHAG00000024129.1)". It matches the Rfam family "Small nucleolar RNA U3". From Rfam's summary of the family: Small nucleolar RNAs (snoRNAs) are involved in the processing and modification of rRNA in the nucleolus. There are two main classes of snoRNAs: the box C/D class, and the box H/ACA class. The record is from Rfam by way of RNAcentral. Lineage: Eukaryota; Metazoa; Chordata; Mammalia; Dasyuromorphia; Dasyuridae.